AAAAGUGCUUUUACAAAAGCACUUUAUUGAAAGUACUUCGUAAAAGUGCUUUUGUUAAAGCACUUUUA
This 68-nucleotide microRNA precursor is filed under the name Nelumbo nucifera (sacred lotus). RNAcentral's name for it is "miR-430 microRNA precursor family". It matches the Rfam family "miR-430 microRNA precursor family". Lineage: Eukaryota; Viridiplantae; Streptophyta; Magnoliopsida; Proteales; Nelumbonaceae. The record is from Rfam by way of RNAcentral.